This 301-nucleotide ribosomal RNA is filed under the name uncultured bacterium. RNAcentral's name for it is "partial 16S ribosomal RNA". It matches the Rfam family "Bacterial small subunit ribosomal RNA", at positions 509 to 809 of the family's 1533-position model. The record is from RNAcentral.
CAGUCGCCGCGGUAAUACAGAGGGUGCGAGCGUUAAUCGGAUUUACUGGGCGUAAAGCGUGCGUAGGCGGCUAAUUGAGUCGGAUGUGAAAUCCCCGAGCUUAACUUGGGAAUUGCAUUCGAUACUGGUUAGCUAGAGUGUGGGAGAGGAUGGUAGAAUUCCAGGUGUAGCGGUGAAAUGCGUAGAGAUCUGGAGGAAUACCGAUGGCGAAGGCAGCCAUCUGGCCUAACACUGACGCUGAGGUACGAAAGCAUGGGGAGCAAACAGGAUUAGAUACCCCGGUAGUCCCUGUCUCUUAUAA